AGCCACGAAAGCUUUGUCGCUGAUUGGUUACUCGGACGGCGUUCUUGCGCAGAACACUACUGAGUGGUUCCACAACGUCAUAACUGUUUCGUUCGCUAUGAACCGGCAACCUAUUCCGCUGCAAAUUCAUUACCAACGAAGUGAUCGCUUUUAGUUCAAAGCCACCCUGCGAAGAAUAAACACAUGGAUUUCGUCGUCUCGUCAUAAGUUGAAAUACAAGUGAAAAUAUUUGUGAUAUUUAGUUUUAGUGUGCCAAAAUAAAAAUGGAUGACGACCAACAAUUUUGUUUACGGUGGAACAACCAUCAAUCGACAUUGGUAGCCGUUUUUGACACGUUAUUGGAGAACGGCACAUUAGUAGACUGUACUUUGGCAGCAGAAGGAAAAUGCCUAAACGCACACAAAGUAGUUUUGUCUGCAUGUAGUCCAUACUUCGAGGCGCUGCUGUCAAAGCACUUUGACAAGCAUCCCAUUCUUAUUCUUAAGGACGUUAAGUUCCAAGAACUAAAAGCCAUGAUGGACUAUAUGUACAGGGGGGAAGUGAACAUAUCUCAAGAUCAAUUAGGCGCGCUUUUAAAAGCCGCUGAAUCUUUGCAAAUUAAGGGUUUAUCAGACAAUAGGAAAGGGGAAACUGAACGAAAACCCACUCCUGCUCCUCCACCAAAGAGCCCACAGCCAACGACCCUGCCGAAGGUCCAGGGUUUGACAAUUGAGCAAAGAGCUCGGGAGGAUUCCAGGGAGGGAAGCAUGUCACCAGGGCCUCGAAAAAAGAAAAGGUUAAGGCGGAAAAGUGAGGAAUUAGACAACCACGAUGCCUCUAAUUCUUCAGAAUCUCACAGUCUACCCGCCCAAAGCAUUCCUACGUUACCUGCUAUUUCAAAAAUGAACAUGAACGCCGAUGUGCCUGAACAAAUAGAAACUAAAUCAGAGAUACUCACAAGGCAUAAACAGACAGAUGACAUGCCCCAAGUUCCUAUUAUAAAAGAAAAGAUUGAAACCCACACAGAACUGAUGUUGGAACCAAAGUCUGAAUAUGUAGAAGAAAUGAAUGAAGAUAGUAUUGAGGAUUUGACACUGGAUGAUGACGAUUUAAGUAAUAUGGAACAGGUAGAUGAUCAAGCAGGACCUAGUCAUGGAGCAGGAGAAGGAUCAAGUCAAGGUUUUGGAGGUUGGCAUAUGGGUAACCAAAGUCAAGAUGAAGUAUUUCUGGCCGCGCAAGAGGCCGUAGGUGCACAUCGAGACUCACAAGCUCGAAAGUUGAAAGACGAAGAAAAGAUGCAGUGCCCACAAUGCUUCAAGUUCUACAAUGGUUCUCACUCUCUCUACGUACAUCGAAGCCGUGAUUGCGGCAAAGCUAAAAAAUUUGUUUGUGUCGUCUGUGGCUUCAGCUUUAAAAGAAACGAACACUUAAAAAGACAUUUGACAAACAAACAUGGCAUGUUUAAAGAUAUUGAUUUACAGAUUUUAAGUUAAUGUUGUUCACUUUUACCUCCAAAACAAACAUCUAUUGAUUACACUCCGACCGAUAUAGGAAUAGACGUGAGCUGUGCGCAAACCAGAGAAGGGAUGCAGAAUUCAUUUGUGGCUUAAAUUACAGAGUUGCCACGGAUCUUACAAAUAUUUACUGAGAUUUCAUUUUAAAUGUUGUGUAUACUUGCCAUCAAGUUAUUUUAGAAACAUUAAUCUUAAGCUUAUUACAAAGUCAUUUGAAUGGUGUGGUUAAGUUUGCGGCACAGGUAGAAAUUAAUGACAUGAAGAGAAGUAUUCAUAAUUCACAAAUGUGGUCUAGAGGUAACAAAGUACCUACUAGACUCUAAGAAUGUACCACAAAAAAUGUUUUAAUAAAAAGUUCAGUCUUGCAAAAGGACGCGUUUCGGCCCAACUCGAGCAACCAUCAGCUAAUAAGGCCCGGCGCAAAUUGAACCUAAGCGAGACGCAACCUGCGCCGGCGGAACGGGUGACCCGUGCAUUUAUUUUUCUAGCGCGCCGCAUAUUGAACACAACCCAACCCAACCGUUGGCUAUCGACGUGGCGAAUAGAGACGGGCAAAAUCAGUGCGGACCUGUAACGGUUACUUUUGAUACCGGUUCUCAGUGGUACUGAGUACAAAUACUAAUUACAAAAUACUGAUGUAUCUGAUCCUCGUACUGAAUUGAGUAGGCAACUUAAAAUCGGCAUUUCCGUACUUGUAACUAAUAACGUUUUAAAAAUAUCUUAACACGUCCCUAGUAGUCGUAGCGGUAUGACUUUCUAAAACAUCGAAUUUUAUCAUAAGCGGGUGCCUAAAAAGAUAUCUUACACUGAGUAUUUUAUUUCUGCACAUAAUACCUACAUAUGUAUUUAAAAUAAUCUCUCCCCUACUACUGGGUCAUAUCUCAUAUUCCUCAAUGUACUGCUCGGAUCACAAUCAUUUACAAUUACUGCAGGAUCGCAAUCAUUUACAAUUACUGAAGGUCAUAAUUCAUAAUCCCUCCGCUACUGAUCGGUCAUAAAAAUUUCGUUUUUAAUUUUUAAGCAUAAACAAAAAUGCAUAUGUAAUAACAAAAAUGUAAUAUGCCGACAAGUUGAAUUUUAGGGUAAUACGAUAUUUUUAUCAAUCACGGUUUUAAGUAACAUGAAUUAUUUUUCACCUUAUUUUUCUAAUAAUGAGGUUUUGUAAAGGCAUUACUUUGAUUAUUAAUUUCGUAUCGCAGCUUAUUUAGUAUACCAAAAGUUUCAGAAUUUAAUGACAAAAACAACGCAGUUUUCACUCGGGGUGUUCACUAUGUUAAUAUUUUUAUUUAUCAUAAUAAAUUGUACUUAGGAACCAUCCGUAUUCAUUUCAGAUACGUCCAUCUCGCAAACAAAAACAAGUAAAAAUAAACAUCUGGCGGUGAGUCACGCGUCCCACCGCCCAAGAAAACUGUACGCCGAUGACAAAUGUUUCCACUGUUGCCAGAUGAAAAUUUCUCGUAACAGUAGAAUAGGACAUAAAAAACAGGAGAAAACAGGAGAUUUUAAUAAUUUCAAAUAAAACAAUAAAAUGUAGUUAAAUUGAACAAAAUAACUAUCUUAUGGCUAUUUUUCAAGGCCAAUAAUUAAGUAAUUAAUUAUUUAAUUAAUUAAGCAGUAAUUAAUAGAAGUGAAGCAAGACAGUCCAUGACUAGUUUCUGACUGAUUCGCAUGCGCAGUUCCGUUUUCAAGCGCUUGAAAACGGAACUGCGCACGCGAAUCGGUCAGAAACCAGUGAUGGACUGUCUCCACGAAAAAAGUUUAAAUACAGGUUUCACAAAUGUUUAAACUUGUUGUCUGAUAACGCUAGAUAGUCUCUCAAAUUUAAUACCAACAUACCAUAUUCUAGUGGAAAAUAUAACAGAAGAUUUGAGAUUGAAAACAGGAGAACAGGAGAAGAAGUAUGAAAACAGUAGAUCUCCUGCUAAAACAGGAGAUCUGGUAACACUGAAUGUUCCCAAGCGAGACCUGCGAACGAAUGCACUGAUAGUAGGAUGCGCAAAACUGUCUACGCAGUUAGCCGGUGCAGGUGGUGUCUCGCUUAGGUUCAAUUUGCGCCGGGCCUGAGCCUUGCUGUUGGGUCAGUUCUAUGUUGUGUUCCUGUAUUAUUAGCUGAUGAUGGCUCGUGUUGAGCCGAAACACGUCCUUUUAUUCUGACUUUCUGACUUGUCAUCAAUGUUUUAAAAAGUACAAAA
This 3685-nucleotide unclassified non-coding RNA is filed under the name Diabrotica virgifera virgifera (western corn rootworm). RNAcentral describes it as "longitudinals lacking protein, isoforms H/M/V". The record is from RNAcentral. Lineage: Eukaryota; Metazoa; Arthropoda; Insecta; Coleoptera; Chrysomelidae.